AAAAGCACGUGAAAUUGUUGAAAGGGAAGGGCAUGCAACCAGACUUGUCGGCGGUGUUCCGCCGGUCUUCUGACCGGUCUACUCGCCGCCGGCAGGCCAGCAUCACUUGGGCGCGCCGGAUAAAGGCGCGAGGAAUGUAGCCCCUCGGGGUGUUAUAGCCUCGCGUACAAUACGGCGCCGCCCGAGUGAGGUCCGCGCUUCGGCUAGGAUGCUGGCGUAAUGGUUGUUUGCCGCCCGUCUUGAAACACGGACCAAGGAGUCUAACAUCUAUGCGAGUGUUCGGGUGUCAAACCCCUACGCGGAAUGAAAGUGAACGGAGGUGGGAAGCGCAAGCUGCACCAUCGACCGAUCCUGAUGUCUUCGGAUGGAUUUGAGUAAGAGCAUAGCUGUUGGGACCCGAAAGAUGGUGAACUAUGCCUGAAUAGGGUGAAGC
RNAcentral lists this ribosomal RNA (433 nucleotides) under Hortaea sp. RNAcentral describes it as "LSU rRNA". It matches the Rfam family "Eukaryotic large subunit ribosomal RNA", at positions 391 to 852 of the family's 3401-position model. Lineage: Eukaryota; Fungi; Ascomycota; Dothideomycetes; Mycosphaerellales; Teratosphaeriaceae. The record is from RNAcentral.